AAGAUGGCCGCCGUAUGUUAUUGCCGAGAUGUUUACAUACGUGUAUCAGAUAUUAUUAAAAGUUAUCAAAGUUAAGUAAAUUUUUAUCAAUAGGAUUUCGAGGACUCAGAGAAUGUUAACAUUAUUGACUGUCAAUGUAAGACUUUUAAUCGAUGGCCUAAAUAUCUGAGCUUAGCUCCAUAAUGCACAACAUUAAAUUCACGAUCUUAUUAUUAUACAGAUGCUUUAUAAACAUGUAUAUUUACAAUACAGUAUCACAUAUAUAUUGCCAUAAAACUCAUCUUUUUUUCUUGGUUAACUUUUAUCAGUUACGCGAACUUUAGAAGAUUUUUGUUAGUCAUUUAUUUGACUCGCAUCGUAUUGCGUGAUAUCAGACUGAAGUUAGCAGCAUCUUCGAAUAUUAUGUCGUCAUUAACGAAAAGUAACAGUGAAUGAUGGAUCGGUUUUGUAACGAGUGGCGUCGCAAAUUUAAUAAUUGGCAGGUAUUGAUUUAAGUGGCACGAAGCAAAAGAGGAGAGAGAUCAGGAAGACAUCAGAUAAUGAUGGAACAAUCGCAAAGAUGCGGCAACAGCGACAUUCACACCUGGUAUCGGUAAGUUAAUUUCAUGUACAGUUCUACUGUUCCUCGGCGCUUUAGUAAUAUUUUAAUUGCAUCACAAUUAUUAUAAUCAAGUUUUUUAUGUGGAUUAUUUAGUAUAAACAGACUCCGCAUUUUAUGCCUUGAGUAAAUUUUCUAAUAAUUUUGCAUAAAUACUUAUUAAUGAUUU
Monomorium pharaonis (pharaoh ant) is the source of this 767-nucleotide long non-coding RNA. RefSeq lists it as uncharacterized. The record is from RefSeq and is a predicted model, not a curated record. The transcript is spliced from 3 exons. Lineage: Eukaryota; Metazoa; Arthropoda; Insecta; Hymenoptera; Formicidae.